UACGUAGGGGGCAAGCGUUGUCCGGAUUUAUUGGGCGUAAAGAGCGUGUAGGCGGCCAGGUAGGUCCGCUGUGAAAACUCGAGGCUCAACCUCGAGAUGUCGGCGGAAACCAUCUGGCUAGAGUCCGGAAGGGGCGAGUGGAAUUCCUGGUGUAGCGGUGAAAUGCGCAGAUAUCAGGAGGAACACCAAUGGCGAAGGCAGCUCGCUGGAACGGUACUGACGCUGAGGCGCUAAAGCGUGGGGAGCGAACAGG
Molecule: ribosomal RNA, 253 nt
Filed under: uncultured bacterium
Lineage: Bacteria
Description: partial 16S ribosomal RNA
Rfam family: Bacterial small subunit ribosomal RNA
Source: RNAcentral